CAUUGCCUACGGGGGGCAGCAGUGAGGAAUAUUGGUCAAUGGUCGGGAGACUGAACCAGCCAAGCCGCGUGAGGGAGGAAGGUACAGAGUAUCGUAAACCUCUUUUGUCAGGGAACAAAGACUGGGACGCGUCCCCGGAUGAGUGUACCUGAAGAAAAAGCAUCGGCUAACUCCGUGCCAGCAGCCGCGGUAAUACGGAGGAUGCGAGCGUUAUCCGGAUUUAUUGGGUUUAAAGGGUGCGCAGGCGGUCUGUUACGUCAGCGGUCAAAUCCCGGGGCUCAACCCCGGCCCGCCGUUGAAACUGG
RNAcentral lists this ribosomal RNA (305 nucleotides) under uncultured bacterium. Its description in RNAcentral is "bacterial SSU rRNA". It matches the Rfam family "Bacterial small subunit ribosomal RNA", at positions 333 to 636 of the family's 1533-position model. The record is from RNAcentral.